Molecule: ribosomal RNA, 422 nt
Filed under: uncultured prokaryote
Description: bacterial SSU rRNA
Rfam family: Bacterial small subunit ribosomal RNA
Source: RNAcentral
UGAGGAAUAUUGGUCAAUGGGCGCAAGCCUGAACCAGCCAUCCCGCGUGCAGGAAGACGGCCCUAUGGGUUGUAAACUGCUUUUCCAGGGGACGAAUAGCUUUUACGUGUAAGGGCAUGACGGUACCUUGGGAAUAAGCAUCGGCUAACUCCGUGCCAGCAGCCGCGGUAAUACGGAGGAUGCAAGCGUUAUCCGGAUUCAUUGGGUUUAAAGGGUGCGUAGGCGGAUUGAUAAGUCAGUGGUGAAAUCCUACAGCUUAACUGUAGAACUGCCAUUGAUACUGUUAGUCUUGAGUUUGGUUAAGGUAGGCGGAAUGUGUAAUGUAGCGGUGAAAUGCUUAGAUAUUACACAGAACACCAAUUGCGUAGGCAGCUUACUGGACCGACACUGACGCUGAGGCACGAAAGCGUGGGGAUCGAACA